UUCUAUCCGCCUGGGGACUACGAGCAUAAGCUUAAAACCCAAAGGACUUGGCGGUGCUUUAGAUCCACCUAGAGGAGCCUGUUCUAGAACCGAUAACCCCCGUUAAACCUCACCUUUUCUUGUUCUACCCGCCUAUAUACCACCGUCGUCAGCUUAUCCUGUGAAGGACUAUUAAUAAACAGAAUUGGCACAGCCCAAAACGUCAGGUCGAGGUGUAGCGUACGGAAAGGGAAGAAAUGGGCUACAUUCUCUAUCUAGAGAACACGAAUGAUAAACUGAARAACGUAUCUGAAGGAGGA
Molecule: ribosomal RNA, 299 nt
Filed under: Thamnaconus modestoides (modest filefish)
Lineage: Eukaryota; Metazoa; Chordata; Actinopteri; Tetraodontiformes; Monacanthidae
Description: partial 12S ribosomal RNA
Rfam family: Bacterial small subunit ribosomal RNA
Source: RNAcentral